This is a long non-coding RNA of Monopterus albus (swamp eel), 430 nucleotides long. RefSeq lists it as uncharacterized. Lineage: Eukaryota; Metazoa; Chordata; Actinopteri; Synbranchiformes; Synbranchidae. The transcript is spliced from 3 exons. The record is from RefSeq and is a predicted model, not a curated record.
CUUGUAUUGGACUGGAUUACCUGUGUCCCUGUCACCAACCCUGCCUGCCUUGUCUUUGUGGAUGUGCUUGAGAUUUGUCUUGUGACCUCCUGGAGGGAUCUGAGCCGUAAUUUGGGACCCGCAGGACUACACAACCUGACUAUAAGCUUCACCUCCAGCAGCUACAAUGGUCAAACUUUCAUCAGGGACUCCUGACUGUGGAACAGCUCAUCAGUCGCAUCCUCCGGUCCUGCCCAGAGCUUAUGGGAAGACAUAUACAAAAUAUGGAGUACAUCAUUCAGUUUUUGUUUUGUUAGCUCUAAUUUUGUACUUAUGGAGUAAAUGCCAAGAGAAAUGGUGGACAAAGGAGAUGAGUAUAUGUUUAAAAAAUAUUAAGAGUGAGCCCUUUGAAAAAAUAAUUACAGGUAAAAUGAGCUUUUACAACAAAAGA